This is a long non-coding RNA of Myripristis murdjan (pinecone soldierfish), 523 nucleotides long. RefSeq lists it as uncharacterized. The transcript is spliced from 4 exons. NCBI's taxonomy places the organism in Eukaryota, Metazoa, Chordata, Actinopteri, Holocentriformes, Holocentridae. The record is from RefSeq and is a predicted model, not a curated record.
GGAGGUCCCUCUAAACCAAGAGACACAGAGAUCCACAUCACCUGUAGAUCUCACACUCUUCACUUCAGCUUCUUGACCCUCAAUCUGUGGACAAGAUGAAGCGUCUUGUGGCCUUGGCUGUGUUGAUGCUGGUGGUCUACAUGGCCAAUCCUGUUGCAGCACAGAGCGGACCCCAAGGACCAGAUCCAGAUUAUAACCCCCAUCACGCAGGCCCUGAGGGAGGUGGUGGUGGUGGCGGCGGAGGAGGCAGUAAUUGGUGGGGCAGCAGUGGUGGUGGCGGUGGCGGCGGUGGUGGUCGUUGAAACCAGGUCUCCAACAAGGGCUGGAUCACAUCUUAAUUACAGAAAUGCCUGCUUUCCUUUUUUAGAAAGUAAUAGAUUGACUAGUGUUAUCACUAUUCUUGUGUCUGCAUCAGUCAUUUGAGAAAACAUGAUGCUUUCUGUAGCCAGAUGAAAAUUUUGAAAUGGCAAUCAGCAUAUUUCACACUGCCCUGAUCAAUAAAUCUGCAUUAUGAAAAUUCAAA